Molecule: long non-coding RNA, 277 nt
Filed under: Elaeis guineensis (African oil palm)
Lineage: Eukaryota; Viridiplantae; Streptophyta; Magnoliopsida; Arecales; Arecaceae
Description: long non-coding RNA (EGUI_LNC036890)
Source: RNAcentral
UGGAUAGUUAUUUACUGCAAUUGAUGAUCGUGGAUAUCUCUUCGGUUCCUUUUGAGCCGCACAAGUAUCUGACCUCUACAGGUAUUCAUGGGAUAAAUCUAAGAAAGCUCAUCUUUUAUUUCUUCACUAAGAAACUAGCAAGUAAUUUUUAAAGGAGGAAGAAGAAAAUGAGAGAACUCCUCUCAAAUUAGCAGUCUGAACUUGCAUGUAGAAGGAAGAAGGCAUCCAACCCUUGGGUGUGGAAACCAAGGACGCCCAACUCUUGGGUAUGAGGAAG